This 253-nucleotide unclassified non-coding RNA is filed under the name uncultured Flavobacteriaceae bacterium. RNAcentral describes it as "contains 16S-23S intergenic spacer region". It matches the Rfam family "Bacterial small subunit ribosomal RNA", at positions 524 to 776 of the family's 1533-position model. Lineage: Bacteria; Pseudomonadati; Bacteroidota; Flavobacteriia; Flavobacteriales; Flavobacteriaceae. The record is from RNAcentral.
UACGUAGGAUCCAAGCGUUAUCGGGAAUCAUUGGGCUUAAAGGGUCCGUAGGCGGGUUAAUAAGUCAGUGGUGAAAGUCUGCAGCUUAACUGUAGAAUUGCCAUUGAUACUGUUAGCCUUGAGUAAGUAUGAAGUUGUUAGAAUAUGUAGUGUAGCGGUGAAAUGCAUAGAUAUCACAUAGAAUACCGAUUGCGAAGGCAGAUCACUAAUAAUUUACUGACGCUGAGGGACGAAAGCGUAGGUAGCGAACAGG